AGAUCCCUGAGGUGUUCGCCAGUUGGAUACGUCCUCGAGCCGAUAAUCUUAUUCAGGUGACCACUCGAGGGUAAUGUGAGCAUGUCCCCAAGCGGGAAAGCCUAAUUUACCACAGCGGUUGCCACCUUGAACCAUUGGGUUCAAGGCCAUAUCCGACAGCGACGCCGCGGGGACCUU
Molecule: non-coding RNA, 177 nt
Filed under: Oleiphilus messinensis
Lineage: Bacteria; Pseudomonadati; Pseudomonadota; Gammaproteobacteria; Oceanospirillales; Oleiphilaceae
Also listed under: 1 other name
Description: 6S / SsrS RNA
Rfam family: 6S / SsrS RNA
About the family: E. coli 6S RNA was the first non coding RNA to be sequenced, but its function was unknown until recently. It consists of 184 nucleotides that fold into an extended hairpin structure with a large single-stranded internal bulge.
Source: Rfam by way of RNAcentral